RNAcentral lists this long non-coding RNA (264 nucleotides) under Arachis ipaensis. RNAcentral describes it as "long non-coding RNA (AIPA_LNC000215)". The record is from RNAcentral. Lineage: Eukaryota; Viridiplantae; Streptophyta; Magnoliopsida; Fabales; Fabaceae.
CUUACGAAUUUGUCAAAAAUUGCAAUUAUUUUUUACUAUGCAAAUUAAUAAGGAUGGAGAAAGAGGAAUAAAGUUUGGAACCGAAAAGAGUGGAUUGAAGGCAUGGGGAACGGUUGGUGGUGGUAGUGUCAAGCCACCACCAGUGUGAAGGUUAUUUCUUAGUCAUUUCAUCCAUCACCUUCUUCACUCUUCUCUUGUUGCUUCUCAACAACAAAAACAAACAUAAAUAUGAUGGCAAAACAACAAAGAAGAACCUCGGUUUCC